Molecule: small RNA, 127 nt
Filed under: Marmota monax (woodchuck)
Lineage: Eukaryota; Metazoa; Chordata; Mammalia; Rodentia; Sciuridae
Source: RNAcentral
GCUGGGUACAGGGGCACACACCUGUAAUCCCAGCUGCUUGGGAGGCUGAGGCAGGAGGAUUGCAGGUUCAAAGCCAGCCUCAGCAAUUUAGCAAGGCCCUAAGCAACUUAGCAAGACCCUGUCUCUA